This 236-nucleotide ribosomal RNA is filed under the name uncultured bacterium. Its description in RNAcentral is "partial 16S ribosomal RNA". It matches the Rfam family "Bacterial small subunit ribosomal RNA", at positions 524 to 760 of the family's 1533-position model. The record is from RNAcentral.
UACGUAGGGUGCGAGCGUUAAUCGGAAUUACUGGGCGUAAAGCGUGCGCAGGCGGUUUUGUAAGACCAAUGUGAAAUCCCCGGGCUUAACCUGGGAACUGCGUUUGAAACUACAGAGCUAGAGUGUGGCAGAGGGGGGUGGAAUUCCAUGUGUAGCAGUGAAAUGCGUAGAGAUAUGGAAGAACAUCGAUGGCGAAGGCAGCCCCUGGGUUAACACUGACGCUCAUGCACGAAAGC